RNAcentral lists this ribosomal RNA (101 nucleotides) under uncultured bacterium. RNAcentral's name for it is "partial 16S ribosomal RNA". The record is from RNAcentral.
CUUUCGGGUUGUAAACCCCUUUCAGUUGGGACGAAGCUCCGUCGGUGAAUAGCCGGCUGGAGUGACGGUACCUUCACAAGAAGCACCGGCUAACUACGUGC